CAAAUCCAAUAGAAACAACAAUAGCAAAUGAAUGAAAGAAAAAAAAAAGAGUUUCAUGCUGAUUAAUAAGUUCUGCCCAGAAUUGCCAUCGCACCAGACCAAAUUCCAUCGCCCAGAAAUUGAGAUUGCAUGCAGAGAAGAAAUGAAGCUGACGCUGGAUUAAUUCACUGAAAAUAACAAAUUGCUACGACUCGAAAAUUACCACGACUCUGAAAUUACCACACCAUCGGAAUUAUAGCUAAUUGGAGUUUCCGAAAUCGAAACCCGGCCGGAUGAAACUCUGCUAACCAAUCGGUCAAUUCUUCUCGAUCCAGCGGCAGGUGUUCGUCGGGCAGAAACAAUCUGGGCGGCAAAGCAAACAAUACCAUGCAUCGAAUAGAGACCACAACAUCUUUAAGACGACGGGAACUAAGAUGUCUGGGUAGAGCUACAAAGAAGAGAUACAUACAGUGAACACCUUCUUUGAAGGGUAAUAUUCUUUUAUAACUUUUUAACUAUAUUUUUUACAUCUAUAUAUAUAAUUAAUGCUUUAUUAUUAUUCUCUAUACAUUUAACAUCUCAUGUGUUUCAUUUAUAUAUCAGAUUUUAUUUUUGGUUUA
This is a long non-coding RNA of Ipomoea nil (Japanese morning glory), 599 nucleotides long. RefSeq lists it as uncharacterized. The record is from RefSeq and is a predicted model, not a curated record. The transcript has 2 exons. NCBI's taxonomy places the organism in Eukaryota, Viridiplantae, Streptophyta, Magnoliopsida, Solanales, Convolvulaceae.